AAAUUGAAGAGUUUGAUCAUGGCUCAGAUUGAACGCUGGCGGCAGGCCUAACACAUGCAAGUCGAACGGUAACAGGAAGCAGCUUGCUGCUUCGCUGACGAGUGGCGGACGGGUGAGUAAUGUCUGGGAAACUGCCUGAUGGAGGGGGAUAACUACUGGAAACGGUGGCUAAUACCGCAUAACGUCGCAAGACCAAAGAGGGGGACCUUCGGGCCUCUUGCCAUCAGAUGUGCCCAGAUGGGAUUAGCUUGUUGGUGAGGUAAUGGCUCACCAAGGCGACGAUCCCUAGCUGGUCUGAGAGGAUGACCAGCCACACUGGAACUGAGACACGGUCCAGACUCCUACGGGAGGCAGCAGUGGGGAAUAUUGCACAAUGGGCUCAAGCCUGAUGCAGCCAUGCCGCGUGUAUGAAGAAGGCCUUCGGGUUGUAAAGUACUUUCAGCGGGGAGGAAGGUGUUG
Molecule: ribosomal RNA, 459 nt
Filed under: Salmonella enterica
Lineage: Bacteria; Pseudomonadati; Pseudomonadota; Gammaproteobacteria; Enterobacterales; Enterobacteriaceae
Description: bacterial SSU rRNA
Rfam family: Bacterial small subunit ribosomal RNA
Source: RNAcentral